Molecule: transfer RNA, 64 nt
Filed under: Sinohyriopsis schlegelii
Lineage: Eukaryota; Metazoa; Mollusca; Bivalvia; Unionida; Unionidae
Description: tRNA-Ile
Source: RNAcentral
GGUAUCACGCCGGAUGAACGGACUAUCCUGAUGAGGUAGACUAUAGGCCAGCGCCUUGAUACUU